This 253-nucleotide ribosomal RNA is filed under the name uncultured bacterium. RNAcentral's name for it is "partial 16S ribosomal RNA". It matches the Rfam family "Bacterial small subunit ribosomal RNA", at positions 524 to 776 of the family's 1533-position model. The record is from RNAcentral.
UACGUAGGGACCGAGCGUUGUCCGGAAUCACUGGGCGUAAAGGGCGCGUAGGCGGCGCGGGUAGUCAUCGGUGAAAGUUCAGGGCUCAACUCUGAAUCGGCCGGUGAUACUCCCGUGCUCGAGCACUGUAGAGGCAGGUGGAAUUCCCGGUGUAGCGGUGAAAUGCGCAGAUAUCGGGAGGAACACCAGUGGCGAAGGCGGCACUCUGGGCCGGUACUGACGCUGAGGAGCGAAAGCGUGGGGAGCGAACAGG